Molecule: ribosomal RNA, 497 nt
Filed under: uncultured bacterium
Lineage: Bacteria
Description: partial 16S ribosomal RNA
Rfam family: Bacterial small subunit ribosomal RNA
Source: RNAcentral
GAUGAACGCUGGCGGCGUGCCUAAUACAUGCAAGUCGAGCGAACGGACGAGAAGCUUGCUUCUCUGAUGUUAGCGGCGGACGGGUGAGUAACACGUGGAUAACCUACCUAUAAGACUGGGAUAACUUCGGGAAACCGGAGCUAAUACCGGAUGAUAUUUUGAACCGCAUGGUUCAAAAGUGAAAGACGGUCUUGCUGUCACUUAUAGAUGGAUCCGCGCUGCAUUAGCUAGUUGGUAAGGUAACGGCUUACCAAGGCAACGAUGCAUAGCCGACCUGAGAGGGUGAUCGGCCACACUGGAACUGAGACACGGUUCAGACUCCUACGGGAGGCAGCAGUAGGGAAUCUUCCGCAAAGGGCGAAAGCCUGACGGAGCAACGCCGCGUGAGUGAUGAAGGUCUUCGGAUCGUAAAACUCUGUUAUUAGGGAAGAACAUAUGUGUAAGUAACUGUGCACAUCUUGACGGUACCUAAUCAGAAAGCCACGGCUAACUACGUG